ACCCGUUGAUAUGGUCUUCAAC
This 22-nucleotide microRNA is filed under the name Ananas comosus (pineapple). RNAcentral's name for it is "microRNA s1702_c111b". Lineage: Eukaryota; Viridiplantae; Streptophyta; Magnoliopsida; Poales; Bromeliaceae. The record is from RNAcentral.